Rhipicephalus sanguineus (brown dog tick) is the source of this 338-nucleotide long non-coding RNA. RefSeq lists it as uncharacterized. The transcript is spliced from 4 exons. The record is from RefSeq and is a predicted model, not a curated record. Lineage: Eukaryota; Metazoa; Arthropoda; Arachnida; Ixodida; Ixodidae.
CCUGCGCGUAACACCAGGGCCCAGUGGCAAGCCCGAUGGAGGAAUGAGCGCUACUAUUCGCAGCAGGGUCUUGCCAAACUCCGAGGGCAGCAGAGCAGCACCCGAGGCGGCCAGAUUUCGGAUUACCGUGGCCGCGUCGUGCUUGACAGGGACGAGUGUGCGAGGCCCAUAGUUCGGGUGGUCUGAAUCGGUGAGCCCUGCUCCAGCUGCUACUGGUGUGGCUGAAGAGGAUGUGGCCCAGGAUCUUUCCCGUGCCCCAACUCCUCAUGCCGCAGCUGCGAGAUGGGGGCAACAGGCAGGCCGAGGCGCUGGAGUUACUAGCCGCAAACACCAGGCGG